RNAcentral lists this ribosomal RNA (305 nucleotides) under uncultured bacterium. RNAcentral describes it as "bacterial SSU rRNA". It matches the Rfam family "Bacterial small subunit ribosomal RNA", at positions 335 to 658 of the family's 1533-position model. The record is from RNAcentral.
GGCCUACGGGACGCAGCAGUGGGGGAUAUUGGACAAUGGGGGGAACCCUGAUGCAGCGACGCCGCGUGAGUGAAGAAGUAUCUCGGUACGUAAAGCUCUAUCAGCAGGGAAGAAAAUGACGGUACCUGACUAAGAAGCCCCGGCUAACUACGUGCCAGCAGCCGCGGUAAUACGUAGGGGGCAAGCGUUAUCCGGAUUUACUGGGUGUAAAGGGAGCGUAGGUGGCAGGGCAAGUCAGAUGUGAAAACCCGGGGCUCAACUCCGGGAGUGCAUUUGAAACUGUCCAGCUAGAGUGCAGGAGAGGG